RNAcentral lists this ribosomal RNA (253 nucleotides) under uncultured bacterium. RNAcentral's name for it is "partial 16S ribosomal RNA". It matches the Rfam family "Bacterial small subunit ribosomal RNA", at positions 524 to 776 of the family's 1533-position model. The record is from RNAcentral.
AACGAAGGAUGCAAGCGUUAUCCGGAUUCAUUGGGUUUAAAGGGAGCGUAGGUGGCCUUAUAAGUCAGUGGUGAAAUCUCUCAGCUUAACUGAGAAAUUGCCAUUGAUACUGUAGGGCUUGAGUACAGAUGCCGUUGGCGGAAUAUGACAUGUAGUGGUGAAAUACAUAGAGAUGUCAUAGAACACCGAUUGCGAAGGCAGCUGACGAAACUGUAACUGACACUGAGGCUCGAAAGUGCGGGGAUCAAACAGG